Molecule: ribosomal RNA, 468 nt
Filed under: uncultured bacterium
Lineage: Bacteria
Description: partial 16S ribosomal RNA
Rfam family: Bacterial small subunit ribosomal RNA
Source: RNAcentral
GACGAACGCUGGCGGCGUGCUUAACACAUGCAAGUCGAACGGAAAGGCCAGGAUUUUGUGGGGUGCUCGAGAGGCGAACGGGGGAGUAAAACGCGAGUAACAUGCACUUGAAUUAGGGAUAAAACUAGGAAAAAGGGGAUAAAAUAGGAUAGGAGAUCCUGCAGCACGGGGGGGGUUGGAAAGAUACGGCGGUUGGGGAUGGACUCGCGGCUUAUCCGCUGGUUGGUGGGGUAGUGGAGUACAAAGGCUACGACGGGUAGCCGGCCUUAGAGGUUGACCGGCCUCAUUGCGACUGCGAUACGGCCCAGUCUCCUACGUUCGGCAGCGGUCGAGAAUCUUGCGCAGUGGGCCGGCGCCUGUUGCAGCGACCCCGCGAUCGUGAUGACGUCCUUCUGGUUAUAAACCGCUUUCGCCUUUGCCGAAGCGUGAUUGACGGUAAUGGGUAAAAAAGCACCGGCUAACUACGUG